CAGCACCUCAAGUGGUCAGGAUGAUUAUUGGGCCUAAAGCAUCCGUAGCCGGCGCUGUAAGUUUUCGGUUAAAUCUGUACGCUCAACGUACAGGCUGCCGGGAAUACUGCAGUGCUAGGGAGUGGGAGAGGUAGACGGUACUCGGUAGGAAGGGGUAAAAUCCUUUGAUCUAUUGAUGACCACCUGUGGCGAAGGCGGUCUACCAGAACACGUCCGACGGUGAGGGAUGAAAGCUGGGGGAGCAAACCGGAUUAGAGACCCGAGUAGUCC
RNAcentral lists this ribosomal RNA (270 nucleotides) under uncultured archaeon. RNAcentral's name for it is "partial 16S ribosomal RNA". It matches the Rfam family "Archaeal small subunit ribosomal RNA", at positions 477 to 747 of the family's 1478-position model. The record is from RNAcentral.